RNAcentral lists this ribosomal RNA (510 nucleotides) under Schmidingerella taraikaensis. RNAcentral's name for it is "partial Bacterial small subunit ribosomal RNA". It matches the Rfam family "Bacterial small subunit ribosomal RNA", at positions 22 to 527 of the family's 1533-position model. Lineage: Eukaryota; Ciliophora; Spirotrichea; Tintinnida; Rhabdonellidae. The record is from RNAcentral.
GCUCAGAACGAACGCUGGCGGCAGGCUUAACACAUGCAAGUCGAGGGGUAACAGAGAAAGCUUGCUUUCUGCUGACGACCGGCGCACGGGUGCGUAACGCGUAUGCAACCUACCUUAUACUGGGGAAUAGCCCGAAGAAAUUCGGAUUAAUGCCCCAUAGUAUUGUCGAUUCGCAUGUUUUGACAAUUAAAGAUUACGGUAUAAGAUGGGCAUGCGUCCCAUUAGCUAGAUGGUAAGGUAACGGCUUACCAUGGCAACGAUGGGUAGGGGGCCUGAGAGGGUGAUCCCCCACACUGGUACUGAGACACGGACCAGACUCCUACGGGAGGCAGCAGUGAGGAAUAUUGGUCAAUGGAGGCAACUCUGAACCAGCCAUGCCGCGUGCAGGAAGACGGUCCUAUGGAUUGUAAACUGCUUUUAUUUGGGAAUAAACCUGGGUACGUGUACCCAGCUGAAUGUACCAAACGAAUAAGCACCGGCUAACUCCGUGCCAGCAGCCGCGGUAAUACG